RNAcentral lists this ribosomal RNA (251 nucleotides) under uncultured prokaryote. RNAcentral describes it as "partial 16S rRNA". It matches the Rfam family "Bacterial small subunit ribosomal RNA", at positions 525 to 775 of the family's 1533-position model. The record is from RNAcentral.
ACGGGGGUUGCAAGCGUUGUCCGGAAUUACUAGGCGUAAAGGGCAGGUAGGCGGUUCCAUAAGUUUUUUGUUAAAGGCAACGGCUUACCCGUGGUAAUGCUGGAGAUACUGUGGAUCUGGAAUGCGGUUGAGGAAGACAGAAUUCCUGGUGUAGCGGUGGAAUGCGCAGAGAUCAGGAGGAAUACCGAAAGCGAAGGCUGUCAUCUAGGCCGACAUUGACGCUAAACUGCGAAGGUUUGGGUAUCAAACAG